AGAAUCAACGCUGGCGGCGUGCCUAACACAUGCAAGUCGAACGCGAAAGGGGCUUCGGCCCUGAGUAGAGUGGCGAACGGGUGAGUAACACGUGGGUGACCUGCCUUCGAGUGGGGGAUAACGUCCCGAAAGGGACGCUAAUACCGCAUAACAUCCUGUCCUUAGACGGACGGAGAUCAAAGCUAGGGAUCGCAAGACCUGGCGCUUAAAGAGGGGCCCGCGCCUGAUUAGCUAGUUGGUGAGGUAACGGCUACACCAAGGCAACGAUCA
This 270-nucleotide ribosomal RNA is filed under the name uncultured bacterium. RNAcentral's name for it is "partial small subunit ribosomal RNA". It matches the Rfam family "Bacterial small subunit ribosomal RNA", at positions 26 to 282 of the family's 1533-position model. The record is from RNAcentral.